This 90-nucleotide small RNA is filed under the name Dokdonella fugitiva. RNAcentral's name for it is "t44 RNA". It matches the Rfam family "t44 RNA". Rfam says of the family: This family consists of a number of bacterial RNA genes of between 135 and 170 bases in length. The t44 gene is found between the map and rpsB genes in all species in the full alignment apart from Shigella flexneri. The record is from Rfam by way of RNAcentral. Lineage: Bacteria; Pseudomonadati; Pseudomonadota; Gammaproteobacteria; Lysobacterales; Rhodanobacteraceae.
CGGCAAUCGUGCCGAAUCCGCACACGUAUCGUCACCGCGUUCGGGGUGCUCCGCAAGGAGUCGCACGCGGCGGGUACGUGGAGGUCCAAC